ACGUCAGCGGCAGACGGGUGAGUAACGCGUGGGAACAUACCUCUUGGUUCGGAACAACACAGGGAAACUUGUGCUAAUACCGGAUAAGCCCUUACGGGGAAAGAUUUAUCGCCGAGAGAUUGGCCCGCGUCUGAUUAGCUAGUUGGUAGGGUAAUGGCCUACCAAGGCGACGAUCAGUAGCUGGUCUGAGAGGAUGAUCAGCCACAUUGGGACUGAGACACGGCCCAAACUCCUACGGGAGGCAGCAGUGGGGAAUAUUGGACAAUGGGGGCAACCCUGAUCCAGCCAUGCCGCGUGAGUGAUGAAGGCCCUAGGGUUGUAAAGCUCUUUUGUGCGGGAAGAUAAUGACGGUACCGCAAGAAUAAGCCCCGGCUAACUUCGUGCCAGCAGCCGCGGUAAUACGAAGGGGGCUAGCGUUGCUCGGAAUCACUGGGCGUAAAGGGUGCGUAGGCGGGUUUUUAAGUCAGGGGUGAAAUCCUGGAGCUCAACUCCAGAACUGCCUUUGAUACUGAAGAUCUUGAGUCCGGGAGAGGUGAGUGGAACUGCGAGUGUANAGGUGAAAUUCGUAGAUAUUCGCAAGAACACCAGUGGCGAAGGCGGCUCACUGGCCCGGUACUGACGCUGAGGCACGAAAGCGUGGGGAGCAACAGGAUU
This 654-nucleotide ribosomal RNA is filed under the name Bradyrhizobium sp. Ad258. RNAcentral describes it as "bacterial SSU rRNA". It matches the Rfam family "Bacterial small subunit ribosomal RNA", at positions 89 to 779 of the family's 1533-position model. The record is from RNAcentral. Lineage: Bacteria; Pseudomonadati; Pseudomonadota; Alphaproteobacteria; Hyphomicrobiales; Nitrobacteraceae.